CUCAAAACUAUGCUGGCUCUGGCAAUUUGUACAUCAAUUUCAUCAUCUGUGUAUACAUCACUUACCAAGGCAUCUCCAAGAUUGCUGAAAACAUUCUGAAAAAGCAUGGAAGCAAGCAUCCAGCCCAGUUUCCCUCCAAUGGUGAAUGAGAAAGAAGAAGAGCAUUGUGCAUUACUCAGAAACCAGGUUGUUCCAGAAAUUUAGCAUACUGAAUUGAUAGAAGCAGGAAGGAAAUCAAUAUUCAAAAUUGUCCCAGG
Phascolarctos cinereus (koala) is the source of this 257-nucleotide non-coding RNA. The record is from RefSeq and is a predicted model, not a curated record. NCBI's taxonomy places the organism in Eukaryota, Metazoa, Chordata, Mammalia, Diprotodontia, Phascolarctidae.